CGUUAACGGCGUCGAGCGGCGGACGGGUGAGUAAUGCCUGGGAAAUUCGCCCUGAUGUGGGGGAUAACCAUUGGAAACGAUGGCUAAUACCGCAUAAUAGCUUCGGCUCAAAGAGGGGGACCUUCGGGCCUCUCGCGUCAGGAUAUGCCCAGGUGGGAUUAGCUAGUUGGUGAGGUAAUGGCUCACCAAGGCGACGAUCCCUAGCUGGUCUGAGAGGAUGAUCAGCCACACUGGAACUGAGACACGGUCCAGACUCCUACGGGAGGCAGCAGUGGGGAAUAUUGCACAAUGGGCGCAAGCCUGAUGCAGCCAUGCCGCGUGUAUGAAGAAGGCCUUCGGGUUGUAAAGUACUUUCAGCAGUGAGGAAGGCGGAGUCGUUAAUAGCGGCCUCGUUUGACGUUAGCUGCAGAAGAAGCACCGGCUAACUCCGUGCCAGCAGCCGCGGUAAUACGGAGGGUGCGAGCGUUAAUCGGAAUUACUGGGCGUAAAGCGCAUGCAGGUGGUUUGUUAAGUCAGAUGUGAAAGCCCGGGGCUCAACCUCGGAAUUGCAUUUGAAACUGGCAGACUAGAGUACUGUAGAGGGGGGUAGAAUUUCACGUGUAGCGGUGAAAUGCGUAGAGAUCUGAAGGAAUACCGGUGGCGAAAGCGGCCCCCUGGACAGAUACUGACACUCACAUGCGAAAGCGUGGGGAGCAAACACGAUUAGAUACCCUGGUAGUCCACGCCGUAAACGAUGUCUACCUGGAGGUUGUGGCCCUCACCCCUGGCUUUCUGAGCUCACGCGUUUAAUAGACCCCCCGGGGAGUACGGUCGCGGGAUUAAAACUCAAAUGAAUUGACCGGGGCCCGCCCCAUCGCUGGAGCAUGUUGUUUAAUUCUAUGCAACCCCCAAAAACUUACCUACUCUUG
RNAcentral lists this ribosomal RNA (908 nucleotides) under Vibrio sp. RNAcentral describes it as "bacterial SSU rRNA". It matches the Rfam family "Bacterial small subunit ribosomal RNA", at positions 77 to 983 of the family's 1533-position model. Lineage: Bacteria; Pseudomonadati; Pseudomonadota; Gammaproteobacteria; Vibrionales; Vibrionaceae. The record is from RNAcentral.